GACAGAGGGGCCGAGCGUUAGGCGGAAUCACUGGGCGUAAAGCGUGUGUAGGCGGACUCGUAAGUGCUUUGUGAAAUCCCACGGCUCACCCGUGGAACUGCUUGGCAUACUGCGAGCCUUGAGCCACUUAGGGGCAACCGGAACAAACGGUGGAGCGGUGAAAUGCGUAGAUAUCGUUUGGAACGCCAAUGGUGAAGACAGGUUGCUGGGAGUGCGCUGACGCUGAGACACGAAAGCCAGGGGAGCGAACGGG
Molecule: ribosomal RNA, 253 nt
Filed under: uncultured bacterium
Lineage: Bacteria
Description: partial 16S ribosomal RNA
Rfam family: Bacterial small subunit ribosomal RNA
Source: RNAcentral